This 284-nucleotide ribosomal RNA is filed under the name uncultured Streptococcus sp. RNAcentral describes it as "partial 16S ribosomal RNA". It matches the Rfam family "Bacterial small subunit ribosomal RNA", at positions 1098 to 1382 of the family's 1533-position model. Lineage: Bacteria; Bacillati; Bacillota; Bacilli; Lactobacillales; Streptococcaceae. The record is from RNAcentral.
CAACCCCUACUUGUUAGUUGUCCAUCAUUCAGUUGGGCACUCUAGCGAGACUGCCGGUAAUAAACCGGAGGAAGGUGGGGAUGACGUCAAAUCAUCAUGCCCCUUAUGACCUGGGCUACACACGUGCUACAAUGGUUGGUACAACGAGUUGCGAGUCGGUGACGGCGAGCUAAUCUCUUAAAGCCAAUCUCAGUUCGGAUUGUAGGCUGCAACUCGCCUACAUGAAGUCGGAAUCGCUAGUAAUCGCGGAUCAGCACGCCGCGGUGAAUACGUUCCCGGGCCUU